GACAACGCUACCAUUGCUUUCGAAUGCUUCCAUAAGAUCCAGUAUAGCAAACAGGCUGCUAAUACCCACUGUGCGUUCAAGUUGGACUUGGCGAAAGCGUAUGAUAGGGUGGACUGGGGAUUCAUGGAAGAGGCCCUGUUGAAACUUGGUUUCGAUCGCAAAUGGGUGGAUUGGGUUAUGUGUUGUGUGAAAUCUGUGAGGUAUUCUGUCAAAUACAAUGGUGAACUGCUCGAAACCUUUUCCCCUUCGAGGGGACUUCGUCAGGGUGACCCUUUGAGCCCUUACCUGUUUCUCUUCGUCGCGGAAGGACUCACCUGUCUGUUGGAUAAGCAGAUCCGCCUGGGAAAUAUAACUCCUAUUAAGAUUGCCCGGGGAUGCCCUGGAAUAUCAAAA
This 393-nucleotide ribosomal RNA is filed under the name Triticum aestivum (bread wheat). RNAcentral describes it as "partial small subunit ribosomal RNA". The record is from RNAcentral. Lineage: Eukaryota; Viridiplantae; Streptophyta; Magnoliopsida; Poales; Poaceae.